CCAAAAACACAUAUCAAAGAGCCUUUAGGUAGCAGACUAUACAUUAGCAUUUUACCCUUAACCUAUACUUGUCAUGAUACUGGUUCUACGUGAGAUUAUCGCCAAAUAUGAAUACUCAUUUCAGCCGAAAACUAAAAUAAACCUGAAAUACAUGCAGUUUAACUGAGUCCUUUACCACAACAUCUUAACAGUCCCAUGACAAUGUAUAAUGAGAAGAUUUCAGCUAACUAAACCAGAAAUCAACUCGAAUGAUGAAUCACAUCACUAAGAACACACAAUCAAAAAGAAAUUCAGAUGAAGCAUGGAUAAAUCUAAUAAUAUGCUUUAAUACUUUCUGCCUUUCAUUUCAUUCCUCAAAUCCAUCUUCACAAUCAGUAGGGCCUGAGAGUAUGCACCUGAGUAAGUAAAAACAAGAGCAGAAUAUCAAGCUGAAGAUCAAGGGAAAGCAGCAACACCAGAAACCAACAGUGUAAACGUGCUGAAACCCAGAUUCAAACAAUAAAACAGUAACACCCAAACAGCACACUUAAAACAAGCUUCUGAAUAUCCAAAAUUCAAUCUAUUUCAACCCAAUUGCAUGAUUUUGUCAUUUUCAGUAACGUUAAUCAAGCAAUGAAGAUCAGCAACCAGGAAACCAAACCAAUUUUGAGUGAUUUCACACAAGGAAAUGCAAGGAAUUCAAGAAUAUUUCAGAAUUUUCCAAAGAAGGCAGCCGUUCAGUUUUUUUAGUAUUUUUUUUGCUCUCUAAGAUCCCUCUCUUUAGUCUCUAAGUAAUGAUGCCUUUAUAGGCAAGCUAUUAGGGUAGCUAAAAGGAUCAGUUUUUGCACUUUGCAGAUUUGAUAUUUUUAUUUUAGCUCCAAUACCCUUAGUUCAGAAAUUAACUUUCAAACUAACCCCCAUCUCAACUUCCUAGAAACUUCUCUAGUCUGUUACUGAAAUAUUCCCUACGCCAAUUACCCAGAAUAACCCUCAAUACCCCUAAAGAUUACCCCUCCAACCAAAAUAUGGGUCAAACUGACCCGACUCAAUUUGGUAUGGGUCUGCAACCCAAGCUGAAUUCCCUCUUGGGCUCUUGAUUUUUCAGAGCCCAAUUCAAAUUAAUCAAAGAUUCACAGUUUUAAGACUUUAUCAAAAUCUCCCAAAAGAAAACCCGGAAACCUUUUAAAAUGCAAUCAAAAUAAAGAAGAGGGUGAAUGAACUAAUUAACCUAAACACAUAGCAGGAAAUUAACUAAGUUAUAGGCCUAAUCAAAUUAACUAGGUGAUUAAACAGAAAGACAAAACAAGAAAAUUAGCCAUGUUAUUAACCAAAUUUAACGGACUAAAGAAGUCAGAGAACAGGCUUUCACAAAGAAGAUGAAAAGAAAAAAGAAAAGGAACAAAAUAAUGAACGGAAAACAAAUUUGAACUCAAAUAGUUAAUCGAAUUUCACCCGAUUAUUAUAAGAAAACUAGGCUAAAGAAAAGGGAAGGAGGAGGAUAAUAAGACAGUGAAAGAAAGAAAAAUACAAGAGGGGGAAAUGAACUUACCAAAUCAAAACUCGAAACCAGACGGAGACAAAAGACCUAACAAAACUAAUGUCGAUCAAUUGUUCUUUGUCAAGAACAAACUAAACGACAUCAGUCUUGUUGAACCCAAACUUUAAAAUUUGAAGAAACAACGCCCUAUGACCAUGCAUGCUCUCAAGUUCUAUAGAAAAUGACUUUUGGACUUUUAGGGCUCGACCUAGGAUUCAAGAUUCGCGGAGCUCCGGGCAGAUUCAAAGGAAAGCACUUGGGGAUUUGGUACGAGGGGAUCAUGGAGGUUGUAGGGUAUUAGUUUGGCGCGGUUUGGGAACUGCGCCGCCGGCGAUAAGCGGUGGAAACUAGGGCGGCGUCUUUAGGGUUUGGGUUAGAGAUGAUGAGAUUUGGG
Molecule: long non-coding RNA, 1910 nt
Filed under: Nicotiana tabacum (common tobacco)
Lineage: Eukaryota; Viridiplantae; Streptophyta; Magnoliopsida; Solanales; Solanaceae
Description: long non-coding RNA (NTAB_LNC001047)
Source: RNAcentral